GAGACCCACGCCAACAGUUGCCAGCACGUUCUCCGGAAUGGUGGGGACACUGUUGGGACCGCCUCUGCUAAAGAGGAGGAAGGAAUGGGCAACGGUAGGUCAGCAUGCCCCGAAUUACCCGGGCUACACGCGGGCUACAAUGGACAGGACAAUGGGAAUCGACACCGAGGGGUGAAGGCAAUCCCCUAAACCUGCCCUUAGUUCGGAUUGUGGGCUGCAACUCGCCCACAUGAAGCUGGAAUCCGUAGUAAUCGCGGAUCAACAUUCCGCGGUGAAUAU
Molecule: ribosomal RNA, 279 nt
Filed under: uncultured archaeon
Lineage: Archaea
Description: partial 16S rRNA
Rfam family: Archaeal small subunit ribosomal RNA
Source: RNAcentral